This 928-nucleotide ribosomal RNA is filed under the name uncultured bacterium. Its description in RNAcentral is "bacterial SSU rRNA". It matches the Rfam family "Bacterial small subunit ribosomal RNA", at positions 8 to 933 of the family's 1533-position model. The record is from RNAcentral.
AGAGUUUGAUCCUGGCUCAGAUUGAACGCUGGCGGCAGGCCUAACACAUGCAAGUCGAACGGUAACAUUUCUAGCUUGCUAGAAGAUGACGAGUGGCGGACGGGUGAGUAAUGCUUGGGAACUUGCCUUUGCGAGGGGGAUAACAGUUGGAAACGACUGCUAAUACCGCAUAAUGUCUUCGGACCAAACGGGGCUUAGGCUCCGGCGCAAAGAGAGGCCCAAGUGAGAUUAGCUAGUUGGUAAGGUAACGGCUUACCAAGGCGACGAUCUCUAGCUGUUCUGAGAGGAAGAUCAGCCACACUGGGACUGAGACACGGCCCAGACUCCUACGGGAGGCAGCAGUGGGGAAUAUUGCACAAUGGGGGAAACCCUGAUGCAGCCAUGCCGCGUGUGUGAAGAAGGCCUUCGGGUUGUAAAGCACUUUCAGUUGUGAGGAAAAGUUAGUAGUUAAUACCUGCUAGCCGUGACGUUAACAACAGAAGAAGCACCGGCUAACUCCGUGCCAGCAGCCGCGGUAAUACGGAGGGUGCGAGCGUUAAUCGGAAUUACUGGGCGUAAAGCGCACGCAGGCGGUUUGUUAAGCUAGAUGUGAAAGCCCCGGGCUCAACCUGGGAUGGUCAUUUAGAACUGGCAGACUAGAGUCUUGGAGAGGGGAGUGGAAUUCCAGGUGUAGCGGUGAAAUGCGUAGAUAUCUGGAGGAACAUCAGUGGCGAAGGCGACUCCCUGGCCAAAGACUGACGCUCAUGUGCGAAAGUGUGGGUAGCGAACAGGAUUAGAUACCCUGGUAGUCCACACCGUAAACGCUGUCUACUAGCUGUGUGUGUCUUUAAGACGUGCGUAGCGAAGCUAACGCGCUAAGUAGACCGCCUGGGGAGUACGGCCGCAAGGUUAAAACUCAAAUGAAUUGACGGGGGCCCGCACAAGCGGU